Molecule: ribosomal RNA, 1346 nt
Filed under: uncultured bacterium
Lineage: Bacteria
Description: bacterial SSU rRNA
Rfam family: Bacterial small subunit ribosomal RNA
Source: RNAcentral
GACGAACGCUGGCGGCGUGCUUAACACAUGCAAGUCGAACGGAAAGGCCCUGCUUUUGUGGGGUGCUCGAGUGGCGAACGGGUGAGUAACACGUGAGUAACCUGCCCUUGACUUUGGGAUAACUUCAGGAAACUGGGGCUAAUACCGGAUAGGAGCUCCUGCUGCAUGGUGGGGGUUGGAAAGUUUCGGCGGUUGGGGAUGGACUCGCGGCUUAUCAGCUUGUUGGUGGGGUAGUGGCUUACCAAGGCUUUGACGGGUAGCCGGCCUGAGAGGGUGACCGGCCACAUUGGGACUGAGAUACGGCCCAGACUCCUACGGGAGGCAGCAGUGGGGAAUAUUGCACAAUGGGCGGAAGCCUGAUGCAGCAACGCCGCGUGCGGGAUGACGGCCUUCGAGUUGUAAACCGCUUUCGCCUGUGACGAAGCGUGAGUGACGGUAAUGGGUAAAGAAGCACCGGCUAACUACGUGCCAGCAGCCGCGGUGAUACGUAGGGUGCGAGCGUUGUCCGGAUUUAUUGGGCGUAAAGGGCUCGUAGGUGGUUGAUCGCGUCGGAAGUGUAAUCUUGGGGCUUAACCCUGAGCGUGCUUUCGAUACGGGUUGACUUGAGGAAGGUAGGGGAGAAUGGAAUUCCUGGUGGAGCGGUGGAAUGCGCAGAUAUCAGGAGGAACACCAGUGGCGAAGGCGGUUCUCUGGGCCUUUCCUGACGCUGAGGAGCGAAAGCGUGGGGAGCGAACAGGCUUAGAUACCCUGGUAGUCCACGCUGUAAACGGUGGGUACUAGGUGUGGGGUCCAUUCCACGGGUUCCGUGCCGUAGCUAACGCUUUAAGUACCCCGCCUGGGGAGUACGGCCGCAAGGCUAAAACUCAAAGGAAUUGACGGGGCCCCGCACAAGCGGCGGAGCAUGCGGAUUAAUUCGAUGCAACGCGUAGAACCUUACCUGGGUUUGACAUGGAUCGGGAGCGCUCAGAGAUGGGUGUGCCUCUUUUGGGGUCGGUUCACAGGUGGUGCAUGGCUGUCGUCAGCUCGUGUCGUGAGAUGUUGGGUUAAGUCCCGCAACGAGCGCAACCCUUGUUCACUGUUGCCAGCACGUUAUGGUGGGGACUCAGUGGAGACCGCCGGGGUCAACUCGGAGGAAGGUGGGGAUGACGUCAAGUCAUCAUGCCCCUUAUGUCCAGGGCUUCACGCAUGCUACAAUGGCUGGUACAGAGAGUGGCGAGCCUGUGAGGGUGAGCGAAUCUCGGAAAGCCGGUCUCAGUUCGGAUUGGGGUCUGCAACUCGACCUCAUGAAGUCGGAGUCGCUAGUAAUCGCAGAUCAGCAACGCUGCGGUGGAUACGUUCCCGGGGCU